UCCCCGGUGGCUCAGCUGGUAAAGAAUCUGCCUGUAAUGCAGGAGACCCAGGUUUGAUCCCUGGGCCAGGAA
RNAcentral lists this transfer RNA (72 nucleotides) under Capra hircus (goat). It matches the Rfam family "tRNA". From Rfam's summary of the family: Transfer RNA (tRNA) molecules are approximately 80 nucleotides in length. Their secondary structure includes four short double-helical elements and three loops (D, anti-codon, and T loops). The record is from Rfam by way of RNAcentral. RNAcentral also lists the same sequence under 1 other name. Lineage: Eukaryota; Metazoa; Chordata; Mammalia; Artiodactyla; Bovidae.